This is a non-coding RNA of Stegodyphus mimosarum, 73 nucleotides long. Lineage: Eukaryota; Metazoa; Arthropoda; Arachnida; Araneae; Eresidae. The record is from Rfam.
GCCUUCGUGGUGUAGUGGUCAGCACGCCCGGCGCGUAUUCGAGAGGUCCGUGGUUCGAGUCCCGCCGAAGGCA